Molecule: long non-coding RNA, 10465 nt
Filed under: Lathyrus oleraceus (garden pea)
Lineage: Eukaryota; Viridiplantae; Streptophyta; Magnoliopsida; Fabales; Fabaceae
Description: Pisum sativum (pea) long non-coding RNA (PSAT_LNC034719)
Source: RNAcentral
CACAUGUGAAUCGAACCAAGUGAUUGUCACCAUUGUUAUGAGAAUCGUUUGUGUAUAAUCUAUUUAUCAGGCUGUAAUUCUUAUCCGGUAAGAGUUUUCAGGUUGAUUUAUUUUGAAGUGUUGAGAUGUAUGUUAUGUUUGUUAGCCAUCAAUCAUGUUUUCGUUUGGGCUUGGUGUAGGGGCUGUUCUCUUUUUCCUCAUAUAUGUACAUAUUAUGAUGUAGUUCAUUCCUAUUAAUCAUCUUAGCAUAACCUGAUAUAAGUGAUGAUUCACAAUGUUAUAACCAUUUUCUCAAAUACAUGAUUAUUAAUAAAUCUGUUCUAAGCAUAUGGCAUUGUGUUAAUGUUCAGUUAAUAUGUUAUGUAUAACCUUGGGUGGUUUCUAAGUGAUGUCAAUUCCAUUAUGAUUUUUUCCGACUUGCAAGUACACGGGAUUUUUAAUAUUUUAAGCACAUGGUAUCUACUUGGUUUUAGUCACUCCUAAAUCAAACUUGUUUUAGUGAUUGACUAAUUCAGAUUUUGUUUAAAUCACUUGGUUGUGAUGAUCGAUUACCUUGGGAAUUUUAGUUAACAUAUGAUUUUGAUUUGGAAUUUUUUUUGGUCAAUUAGGUAGUUUGUUUCAAUUCCAAUCAAAUACUUCAUUAAUUAAAUAUUGACCGGAUUAUUUUAUCAUGAUGUCAACCUCUUCCAAACUCGAAUUCCUUUCAAUCUUAUCAAUUCAUAAUCACUUUCAAUUCAUUUCCAAACGAAGCUCAUUUGAUUCAAAACCACUUUCAAACCAAUUUCAAAAAUCACAAAUCAUAAUUCUCGAUUUAAUGUCGAGUUUAUUUUCAAACACCUUUGUAAGUCGAUCGCUUCUAGCAUCGCCAUCAACCUCACAUAGCUUACUCUUGGGCUUUCUUACAAUAAAACCUAUUCGGUUAUUGAUUAAUCGAGUUGAUGAAUAAUACACAAAAUAAAAUUCAUUUCAUUCAUAAACAUGAAUUUAAAUCAUUUUCCAAACCAUUCAACUUCAAAAGAAUUUUCUCUUAACAUAAAUUUUGGGAUGAAAAAGAUAUAGGAGGCGUUCGCCUCACUAUUUCUCAAUUACUCGAAUAAUUGGCGUAUGCCAUAUUGCGCGAGUUCUUGUCACCUGAUUAAAUCUUAAAUCACACAAUUUCAAAUCACUUUUCAAAAUUAAAUAUAAUUUCCAAAUUCAAAUUAUUCAAACCAUAACAUUUCAAAUCAUUUCUUUUAAAUCAACUACAAAUUCUACAACCAUUUAAUUCUAAAUUUCCGAUAAUAAAAGGAUAGGAGGCGUACGCCUCAUUAUCUUUCGAUUAUUCGAAUAAUUGGCGUAUGCCACAUUGCUCGAAUCUUCGUCAUCAAAUUAAAAACACAAUCGAAUAAAUUCAAAUCAACUCUUAGAUCAAAUCCAAUUUCACAAAAUAAACUCUAACUUAAACCUCAAUUAGAGAAUGGGAGGCGUUCGCCUCGCCAUUCCUUGAUUAUUUGAAUAAUUGGCGUACGCCACAUUGCUCAAAUCAUCGACUUUCCAAACAUACCAAAUCAAAAUCCAAAAUUCAAAUCAUUUUCGCAAAUCAACUACAAUAUCUAAAAACAUAUCUUUUACAAUUUAAACCUCGGAUGAUAAAAGAUGGGAGGCGUUCGCCUCGCCAUCUCUCGAUUAUUUGAAUAAUUGGCGUUCGCCAUAUUGCACAAGUUAUCGACUUCCGAUUAAUACAUUUUAACUAAACUUGGAUAAGGGAAUAGGUGGCGCUGGCCUCAUUAUUCUUUGAAUAAGCAAGUAGGAGGCGUACGCCUCACUACCGUGCAUAUUCAACAUCCAUAAACAAACUUUCUAAAUAAUCCGAAUGAAAAAGGAGUAGAAGGCGAACGCCUUAUUAUUCCUCGAAAGAAUUGGACGAUUGGUGUGCACCACAUUGCCCAAUCUUUCGUCGUUUUUCAAAAACAUCUCAAACAAAUCAAACCUAACUUCUCGCCCCCGAGCGAUCGAAACCAAACCAAAACACCCAAACACAUCAAUUCAACUUGUCACCCCCGCGUGACCAAAACUCUUUCAAAAAGAACACUGUCAAUCUUUUCUAAUGCGCACAACAUACCAGUGCUAGAGCCUCCACCGAGAGUAGACAAACCAGCGUUUAGCCGUUAGAACGCCGACCUACACAGUCCUUCAUCAAAACGAAACACACCAAAUAUUCGUAGUAGCCCGAACUACGAAUGCUCUGAUUUCCUUAUUGCACCAUAAGGAUACAUAGGCAGGAGAUUGAUGUAUCUUCGCGAGCACACUAAUAAAAAACCUCCCAUUUCCCCUCCUGAGGUCUUCAUCCAUAUAUAUCAUCAAUUCUAAUUAUUCGAAGCAAGCGAAUAAUAUUCAAUUAACAGUCAAAUAGAAAAUCAGACUAAAAGGUUCCCGUUGAGUACAACGGACGUAAGGGGUGCUAAUACCUUCCCCUUGCGUAAUCGACUCCCGAACCCAAAUAUGGUUGCGACGACCAUUAUUCUUUUUCUUAGAGGUUUUCUCGAUAUUUUCCUAUUCCUUCAUUGGAAUGAAUAAAGUUCGGUGGCGACUCUGUUUCGAACAACAUUUAUUCCGUGUUCCAUCGCGAGGGAUCGUAUUUUUUCGAGGUGCGACAAACUGGCGACUCUGCUGGGGACCCUGCUCCAAGCAAGAGAGAGUAUAGCCUAACUUAGUCUGAUUUUGCUCUGAUUGUUGGAAGAUGUUCUUAUCUUCCCUGCUUGUUUCUCUAUAUUUUAUUAUGUUGCUUGUAUGUAAUAUGUUUUGAUACUUUGAUAUGGGACUUGAUGUAUGCUGUGAGAUAAGCUUCACACCCGAGCUUCGAGAAGAACCUAGAACCUGGAGUUGUGUAGUAUUGAACCGAGGGGUGUACACCUCAUUGGGACAAUACGAAGACUCCACCUGGAGUAGAUCUAUUUGGAGUUUCCAUCAUAAUGUGGCUAGCCCAUUAUUGUAGGAAGGUUUUAAAUACGAUCCGUGACUCUAUGGACCUCACCUUAAACCCAAGUUUUGUUUUCAUGAUUGGCGAUUAUGUAGUAUUGAACCGAAGGGUCUACACCCUGUUCGAAGAAUACGAGAAUCCCACUUAGAUUAGAUCAGUUCAGAACUCCCAUCAUGAUAUGGCUAGCCCACCAUUGCGAGGAAGUUUUAAACUUGAUCCGUGAGUCUAAGUUCCUUCCUCGAAAACAUAACUUUAGAACCUACCUUUGGGGAAUUUCUAGUAAUCAUAGAAACCCGUGUUUCUUCCUGUUAUACUGACGUACUCGACGUAUGAACGACUUUUAGUACCUGUAUUCCUUUGCAAAAAAUCAUGGCAAAACUUCAUGCAUUUGCAUAUCAUAAACAUGCAUUGCAUAUCAUCUUAUAGAAACAAAAACUUACACCAUAUUCUACCCUUUGUCCAGUAACGCUGACUACUCAACACCAGUACGAGACACGCCGCAACUACAAGAUGACACUUGAACAGCUUGAAGCAAACCAGGUUUCGAUGAGGACCGACAUUGACUCCAUGCAAGCAAAGAUGGAUCGUUUGCUCGAGACUAUGUUACUCUUGGCCCAGAAGGAGAAAGACGCUGAAACUAACGCCGAAGCCAGAAGAGUUGAUGCUCAGUUUGGAUCACCAUCGCUUAGCAUCCCAGGAGUGAUUGACCUUGAUGGUAAUCCUGUCCAUCCUAAAGAAGGACCCAUUCCUUUUCCUGUUCCUAUGGUUAACAUGAACCCCCAUGAGCACUCUGCUACAUCUGCUCGACAUGGAUCCAUGAUGGGUGAUGAGUUUCCAUAUGACGCUUUCUUCAUGCCACAAUCCACUAAACCUGUUGUUGGAAGUCUCCUAGACCCAGCUGUUGAGAGACUCCAUGCUCUGGAAGAGAAAUUCAACUCCUUGGAGGUUCAUACUACUCCCGGCUUGGACGCCGUUGAUAUGUGCUUGGUACCAGGCCUCGUGAUUCCACAAAAAUUCAAAGUCCCAGACUUUGACAAAUACAAAGGGAUCAGCUGCCCGAGAACUCACCUUAGAGAUUACUGUCGUAAGAUGGCCACCCACAUUAGUAAUGAUCAACUCCUGAUUCAUUACUUCCAAGAUAGCCUCAGUGGGGCAUCCCUGGAGUGGUACAUGCAAUUAGAGAGAGGUCAGGUCCAAUCUUGGAGAGACCUUGCUGAAGCCUUCCUUAGGCAUUAUUAGUACAAUACUGAUCUAGCACCUAAUCGCACCCAGCUGCAAGACAUGACUCAACGCAACAAUGAGUCAUUCAAGGAAUACGCACAACGUUGGAGAGAGCUCGCAGCUCGUGUCCAACCUUCUCUUCUUGAUAAGGAAUUAAUUGACAUGUUUAUGGGAACUCUACAUACCUAAUACAUGGAAAAGAUGGUAGGAUCCAACUUCCCAACUUUUGCCGAGGUUGUCUCCGUGGGAGAACGAAUUGAAAGCCAGAUCAAGAAGGGAAAGUUACCUUGUGCUGCCAAUGCUUCAAGUGGGAUGAAGAAACCUUAUCCCAAUCCCCCAAAGAAGCCAGAGGGUCAGACCAACGCCAUAAUGAGAGGAGGAGGAUAUAGGGCACUUUCAUAUGCUCCUACGCCUUAUCAUCAGGUUGACGCGGUCAUCCCGACACCAUAUCAGCAACCCUAUCAGCAACCGUAUCCACAACCUUAUCAACAGCCGACUUACCAUCAGCCACAUCAAAAUCAACAGCAACGUGCUCCACAACAACGUCAACCUAAUCAGCAGAGGGCAAGAAGGCCAGAAAGACAUUUUGAUCCUCUGCCAGUGUCAUACAGCAAGAUCCUUCCCUACCUGCUAAAGGAUGGAUCAAUUGUUUUGAAGGAGCUGACACCUGUAACUCCACCUUACCCACCAGGCUACAACGCCAAUGCUCACUACGAGUAUCAUAUGGGUGCACCAGGGCACACAAUAGAGAACUGUAAGGCUUUCAAGCACAAGGUCUAGGACCUGAUUGAUAGUAAGGCAAUUACGUUCACGCCAGUGAGGCCAAACGUUGCAACAAAUCCCAUGCCACCGCAUGUAGAGUCGAGUGAAGCUCGAAGAUAAAGCAUCACACCGGCCUGAACAAGCAGAGUAAUUCCGCCAGUGGAUCAAGAGAUGAAGGCCCGUUUCUUCGAAUGAAGGCGAUCAUUAUGCCAUUUUUACCAUUUUGCAUUCUUGUAAUUUGAUCUUGUUUGUCUAAGUACUGUAUGCUUUAAACAUUGUUAUUUGUAUUUGGUCUUAUUAAUGGGAUGAUUAUGCAUGCUUUGAAUCAUUACCAUUUUGCAUUCUUGUAAUUUGAUCUUGUUUGUCUAAGUACUGUAUGCUUUAAACAUUGUUAUUUGUAUUUGGUCUUAUUAAUGGGAUGAUUAUGCAUGCUUUGAAUCAAUCUUUCAUAUUCACCCAUCUAUCACAUUUACAAAUCACAAACACAUACUUUUCCACUUCACCUCCUUUAUCACACUAUUGUUAGCAAAUGUUGGAAGGAGGAUGACGAAAACAAAAUACUCAUAAUUGCUGAUUGUACGCUUUCGGAUAAAAUUCUGCUAAUGAUGUACAGGCAUUGUUUCAAAUCCCCAAACACUGGAGAGAUAACGAGUUAAUCCCUAGUCAACCACUUCGAGCCUAGAAGUAGGAGUUUCUUUCGGAUCUAUAAACCCUUAAGCUUAACCUGGGGCAGGGUAGUGUUCAGUUAGUCUUACUACACAUUCAAAUUACAAGAUAAAAUAUCCCAUAUGAGGAUCAAUCACAUGAUAUUCUUCGCACACAUCUUGAAGUGUCGAAGAAACCAUACAAAUCCAAAUUUUAGGUUUGUUGCUCUUCAAUGACCAUUGACUUGGCAGUCACAAUCUUCAAAAAAAAAAAUCAAAGAAAGAGCCCGCUAAGUCCAACACCCUAAAAGGAGACUUAGGCAAAAACUGGGGCAAUCCCGAUGGAUUAAAGCUUCAAACAAGCGGUCCAUGCAAAAGUUAGGGAUCAAAACAAAAAUCGAAAGAGACAAUGAAAGUUUCCAACAAAACAAAACAAGAUUCAGUGACCACCAUACCAAAAUCAAAGGGUCACCGACAUAAAAAAACGAAAUAAGGUGGUUGCCAUUCCAAGAGACCUUGAAUCACCAUCUUUAUCCUUACACCUGCAAAAGACGAAUAUGUGUAAAUUAAUUGAACAUAGGAUUGGAGAUCAUCAUGAAGAAGGGGUGGGUUAAAAUAAACUUUGAGCCUUAUAUCCUUUUGUUUCAAUAACAGUGAACCAAGCCACGUUACAACCCUCAAAAGACCUAAUUGAAGUGAGGUUUAUUCCAGAAGCAUACUACAGCAAGGUUGAGUAAACUGACUCCUAGGUAUUUACUAAUAUUCUAUUCUGGCUUCAUCAUUCACACACUAGCUGAAUCAGCAUCGCGUUUAGACUCAUGAUCCAUUCGCCACACACUACCACGACACCCCAAAUGAAUGAUUGUUUUUCAAAACAUGCAUAACUGUUGCAUUAACAUCACCAUUUCUUGGAUAACAAUUCUUAAUUGUCAAUCAGUACUUGACAUCGAGAAAAUUCCAACAAGGGGCAAUUCGAGUGGUACUUGAUCGUCGGCGUUGACACGAAGCAAAACCAUUUCAUAAUCCUAUGGAUCAGGGGCAUGGCAUCUUCUGAUCAUUUUGAUUGAAGAAGUAGUCAGUAUAAGACAAAUCUUCAAGCAUCGGUUGAUCAAGGAGGAAAAACACUUCAAUACCCAGUACGUUUGGGGCAAGUCCCCCAAAGGCUAAUCAGGGGCAGAGCAUUGUAAGAUUCAGGAGUUGAGAAAAACAGACUCAGACCACGUCAUCGAAUAAACACUCCCAAGGUUUCCUUUCAGGGAGAAUGCCAUUUGACACCCUACAGUCUGGGGCAAGACAAGUUGCAAGGGGAAAAAUUCCCUUCAUAUCUUCAAGCCAGUCAAGCAGAUUGCAUCAGACACUAGUGACUGCUUGGAUUCACAACAAAAACGUCGAAAGUUCAUACCAGUACAACAUCAUACCUUGACAAGAAUCCUUAGGGCACGUCAAAGGCAUACCCAUCAUGCGCUGAUCACGUCGCUAUGCUCAAUUACAGGCUGGCCAGACAUCUCAGAAGAAGAAUCGAGAUCUUCUCAAAGACAAAUACACAACGUAUCAGCAAGAGAUCAAACUUGGGGCACCAAGAGUACUCGCAUCCGUUGUUUGUUCAUCACAUCAUCAACUACCGAGUGUCGGGAAGUCAGAUCCUUUCCACCAACCGAUGGUCCAACCCACAUCGACUACCACAAAAGACCAAAGCCCACCUUACUGGCAUCCACACAAAAACUAAUACAACCAACACUGGUUUCCACAAAAUACAUCACCUUUGAAAGGGGGCCAAUCCCAAACAAGCCAAUCAGUCUUUGCAUUCAAACAUGCAUCACAUGCAUCACCUCAUACAUAACGCAUACAUGACAUUUAUGCAUAUAACACGAAUCAAAACCCAAGGUUUAGUCGUAGGCAUCCAGGCCAACCCUCAGUUGAGUUAUUGUUUUUCUCUGAGUAAGUUUCUACCCCACUAUUGGGCAUUCCCCAUUGGAGUUACAUCUCUCAACCUUUUGUUGAUAAGAUGUUAUCCUCAGCAAAGUCAAACAUCAUUUCUUUAAAACACUUACCUUGUUUCGCGUUGAGCGUCCCUCAACAAGUUGUUUCCUGUAACCUUUUGUUGACAGAAACUACACCUCCCCAGAGAAUAUUUGUUCUGCAACCUUUUGUUGAUGGAUACCCCUGGCAAGUCUUACCCAGUAAUGUUCCAAUACUUCCUAACAAAUCAGGUUUACUCAACAUUGACAGUAGCCUUAUUUUUCCAAUGUUUUUCUCACUAUCAUCCUUUUGGUGAAAGUCCAUUGAGGAAUAAUAUUGAUCAUCACCAUGUUUACGAUAAUCGUUAUCCUUUUGAUAAUGGUAAAAAUCUUGGACAUUUGUGAUCUUACCGUCAUCCUUUUGGUGUCGAAGAUCCUUGAAGUUUUGGUUCAACCUUCAUCCUUUUGGUGAAUGGCGACCUCUCAUUAUUAAAGCUUAUUGUCAUCCUUUUGGUGGUAACAAGUUUUGUCGUUUGAUCUUACUGUCAUCCUUUUGGUGUCGAAGAUCCUUAAAGUUUUGGUUCAACCUUCAUCCUUUUGGUGAAUGGCAAUCGCUGCACUAAUUACAGCCUACCGUCAUCCUUUUGGUGUCGGCGAUCCUUGUGGAGAUAAGGAUCCUUGUCAUUUUGGUUCAAUCAUCAUCCUUUUGGUGAUGACGUCCAGUUCAAUCUAAAUAUCAUCCUUUUGGUGAUGGAUAUUAUAAAGUUUGGUUUAAGCUAUCAUCCUUUUGAUGAUGGUGACAUUUGGAAAAGUCCAAUCCCACUAUCAUCCUUUUGGUGUCAGUAAUAUUUGAAGUUAUUAUAACUUAUUAUCAUCCUUUUGGUGGUGACAAGUUUCGAAGUUAUGAUCUCACCUUCAUCCUUUUGGUGAUGGUGGUUGUUAAUUCAUUAUCAUCCUUUUGGUGAUAACGAGUCCUGUUGUUUGUAGUACCUUCAUCCUUUUGGUGACGGUGAUCAGUAAAAGUUAUCAACUUAUUAUCAUCCUUUUGGUGAUAACAAGUUUUGUUAUUGGCCUUACCUUCAUCCUUUUGGUGACGGUGGCCAUUUGAGUUAUGGGCUCAUUAUCAUCCUUUUGGUGAUAACGGGUUUUUGUUUUGAUCUUGCCCUCAUCCUUUUGGUGAUAACGAUCAUUGAGUUUGUUUCAGCUUAUUAUCAUCCUUUUGGCGAUAACAAGUUUUCAAGCUUUGUCCUUAUUAUCAUCCUUUUGGUGAUAACAAGUUCUGUUUGUUUGAUCUUACUGUCAUUCUUUUGGUGUCAGUGAUAUUUAAGGUUAUUGACUUAUUAUCAUCCUUUUGGUGGUAACAAGUUCUGUUUUUGAUAAUACCUUCAUCCUUUUGGUGAUGGUGAUUGUCGACUUAUUAUCAUCCUUUUGGUGGUAACGAGUUUUGUUGUUUAAUCCUACCUUCAUCCUUUUGGUGACGGUGACCAUUUGAGUUAUAGACUCAUUAUCAUCCUUGUGAUGAUAAUGAGUUUUUGUUUUGAUCUUACCCUCAUCCUUUUGGUGAUGGUGAUCAUUGAGUUUGUUUCGACUUAUUAUCAUCCUUUUGGUGGUAACAAGUUUUGUCGUUUGACCUUACCUUCAUCCUUUUGGUGAUGGUGAUUGUUUUGACUUAUUAUCAUCCUUUUGGUGGUAACAAGUUCUGUUGUUGAUCUUACCUUCAUCCUUUUGGUGAUGGUGAUCGUUUGAGUCUAUUUUGACUUAUUAUCGUCCUUUUGGCGAUAACAAGUUUUCUCUUUUAACUAUACCUUCAUCCUUUUGGUGAUGGUGAUCAUUGAAGUUAUUUGACUUACUAUCAUCCUUGUGGUGAUAUCAAGUCUUGUUGUUGGAUCUUACCUUCAUCCUUUUGGUGACGGUGAUCUUUGAAGUUGAUGAGUCAACUAUCAUCCUUUUGGUGGUAGCCUUGAUAUUAUACUUUCAGUAAUGGAAAACAUUACCAGAAUGACUAUCAUCCGUUUGGUAAUGGACAUCAUUCUUUUGGUGAUGGAAAUCUUUGGAUUAUGUCUAACUUUCAUCCUUUUGGUGAUAUCGAGAUUUGUUGUUGAUCUUACCAUCAUCCUUUUGGUGAUGGUGAUCUUUGUUGUAGCCACUAUAACCAUCAUCCUUUUGGUGAUGACUACCUUUGAAGCUCAGCUUAUCCAUCAUCCUUUUGGUGAUGACGAUCCUGGAGAUCAUGGUGAACUAUUAUCAUCCUUUUGAUGGUAGCAAUUAAUUUCACUGUCAUCCUUUUGAUGCCAAAAAAUCGUUUCAGUUUUUAGUCCCACAUUUGUCUUUACAUCAAUAUGACCUGUGCAAUAUUCGAGUGUCGACUCGAGGGUUGGCAGUGAUUUGGUAUUCUACCCCUAUCACCUUGGUGCUGUUAGAAUCCAUUGCAUUUUCUUUCUGCAUAUCCCCUUUGCAUUUCAAAGGACAAAAUUUGGGUAUUUUCGUAUUUAAUUACCUUCCACCAUGAAUGUAUGAAGACCAUCGUCAUUCUUACUUUCUAGUUCAAGAUAAUUAAAUAGGGGCAGCUGUCAUACCCCAAUUUUGUCCGGGCAUAUUUAAAUUUUCAUAGAAUUGAUUCCAUUUUUAUUUUUGCAUCAUAUGCAUAGCAUGACAUACAUUCCAUCAUGAAUAAUACCUAAAAUGUCAGUCAGAAUGAAUUUAUUUGCAUCAUAUGCAUAGCAUGACAUACAUUCCAUCAUGAAUAAUACCUAAAAUGUCAGUCAGAAUGAAUUUAUUGAAAAUACAGACAAUUCCAUUAAUAAAUGUGUUCUAAGCAUAUGGAAUUGUGUUAAUGUUCAGUUAAUAUGUUAUGUAUAACCUUGGGUGGUUUCUAAGUGAUGUCAAUUCCAUUAUGAUUUUUUUCGACUUUCAAGUACACA